Molecule: ribosomal RNA, 74 nt
Filed under: Staphylococcus aureus
Lineage: Bacteria; Bacillati; Bacillota; Bacilli; Caryophanales; Staphylococcaceae
Description: partial 23S ribosomal RNA
Source: RNAcentral
GGUUAAUAGGUUCGAGGUGGAAGCAUGGUGACAUGUGGUGCUGACGAAUACUAAUCGAUCGAAGACUUAAUCAA